Molecule: ribosomal RNA, 305 nt
Filed under: uncultured bacterium
Lineage: Bacteria
Description: bacterial SSU rRNA
Rfam family: Bacterial small subunit ribosomal RNA
Source: RNAcentral
UGUGUCCUACGGGGGGCAGCAGUGAGGAAUAUUGGUCAAUGGGCUUACGCCUGAACCAGCCAAGUCGCGUGAGGGAAGACUGCCCUAUGGGUUGUAAACCUCUUUUGUCAGGGAGCAAUUGGCGCUACGUGUAGCGUUAUCGAGAGUACCUGAAGAAAAAGCAUCGGCUAACUCCGUGCCAGCAGCCGCGGUAAUACGGAGGAUGCGAGCGUUAUCCGAAUUUAUUGGGUUUAAAGGGUGCGCAGGCGGCACGGCAAGCCGGCGGUCAAAUCGCGGGGCUCAACCCCGCCCAGCCGUCGGAACUG